RNAcentral lists this ribosomal RNA (391 nucleotides) under uncultured Bicosoecida. RNAcentral describes it as "partial small subunit ribosomal RNA". It matches the Rfam family "Eukaryotic small subunit ribosomal RNA", at positions 30 to 432 of the family's 1831-position model. Lineage: Eukaryota; Bigyra; Bicosoecida. The record is from RNAcentral.
GCUUGUCUCAAAGAUUAAGCCAUGCAUGUCUAAGUAUAAACGAUUCUAUACUGUGAAACUGCGAAUGGCUCAUUAUAUCAGUUAUAGUUUAUUUGAUAGUCCCUACUAUUUGGAUAACCGUAGUAAUUCUAGAGCUAAUACAUGCGUAAAGCCCCGACUUCUGGAAGGGGCGUAUUUAUUAGAUACAACCAGCCCUUCGGGUUUUUGGUGAAUCAUAAUAACUGAACGAACCGCAUGCGCGAGCGGCGGUGGUUCAUUCAAGUUUCUGCCCUAUCAGCUUUCGAUGGUAGGGUAUUGGCCUACCAUGGCGUUAACGGGUAACGGAGAAUUAGGGUUCGAUUCCGGAGAGGGAGCCUGAGAGAUGGCUACCACAUCCAAGGAAGGCAGCAGG